GUUUGGAGGUCUUUGGGGCCGCGCCGCGCGGGGGCGCUCUGCCGCUUCGUUUAUGGCGCGGUGAACCGGAAGCGCCUCCACCGGAAGUGCCCCCACCGGAAGCCGGAAGCUGAGGGGUGCGGCGCGGACGGAAGUGAGUGUGGGGCGGGAAAUGUGGGGCGGUGUGCGCGGAGUUGUGGGGCUGAAAGCUCCGCCCCAUCGCAGAGGGGAGGUGUGGGGCGGCCCCAUAUCUAUGGGGCAGGGCGCUAUGGGGCGGGACGCUAUGGGGCACAGCUCUAUGGGGCAGUCCUAUGUUUCCAAGUCAGGGCUCUAUGGGGCAGCCCCACAUGUAUGGGGCAGGGCUCUCUGAGGCAGGGUUCUAUGGGGCAGAGUUCUAUGGGGCAGCCCCACAUCUGUGGGGCAGGGCUCUAUGGGGCAGAGCUCUAUGGAGCAGCCCCACAUCUAUGGGGCAGGGCUCUAUGGGGUAGACCCACAUCUAUGGGGCUAGAGCUCUAUGGGGCAGCCCCACAUCUAAGGGGCAGGCCUCUAUGGGGGCAGCCCCACAUCUGUGGGGCAGGGUGCAGGGCUCUAUGGGUCAGGGCUUUAUAGGGCAGCCCCACAUCUAUGGGGCAGGGCUCUAUGGGGCAGAGCUCUAUGGAGCAGCUGCACAUCUAUGGGGCAGGGCUCUAUGGGGCAGCCCCACAUCUAUGGGGCAGAGCUUUAUGGAGUAGCCGCACAUCUAUGGGGCAGCCCCACAUCUAUGGGGCAGGGCUCUAUGGGGCAGCCCCACAUCUGUGGGGCAGGGCGUAGGGCUCUAU
Molecule: long non-coding RNA, 797 nt
Filed under: Gallus gallus (chicken)
Lineage: Eukaryota; Metazoa; Chordata; Aves; Galliformes; Phasianidae
Source: RNAcentral